RNAcentral lists this ribosomal RNA (429 nucleotides) under Episymploce wulingensis. RNAcentral describes it as "Symploce wulingensis partial large subunit ribosomal RNA". It matches the Rfam family "Bacterial large subunit ribosomal RNA", at positions 1832 to 2523 of the family's 2925-position model. The record is from RNAcentral. Lineage: Eukaryota; Metazoa; Arthropoda; Insecta; Blattodea; Blattellidae.
CUCUUUUCGAUUAUUUGAAAAGUAUAACCUGCCCACUGACUUAAGUUAAAGGGCCGCGGUAAUUUGACCGUGCAAAGGUAGCAUAAUCAUUAGUCUCUUAAUUAGAGGCUGGAAUGAAUGGUUGGACGAGAUAAAUACUGUCUUAUAAUUUAAUUUAGAAUUUAAUUUUUAAGUAAGAAAGCUUAAAUUUUAUUAUGGGACGAGAAGACCCUAUAGAGUUUAAUAAUUAUAUUUGUAUUGUAUGUUUGAUUAUUAAUUUAUAAAUUUAAUUUUUUUGUUGGGGUGAUGGAAAGAUAAUAUAAACUCUUUUUUUUGUUAUAUAUUUAUUUAUAGAAUUUUGAUCCAUUAAUAAUGAUUAUAAGACUAAAUUACCUUAGGGAUAACAGCGUAAUCUUUUUUGAGAGUUCAUAUCGACAAAAGGGGUUGCGA